GAUGAACGCUGGCGGUAUGCUUAACACAUGCAAGUCGAACGGACUCUUCGGAGUUAGUGGCGGACGGGUGAGUAACGCGUGAGAAUCUGGCUUUGGGUUCGGGACAACUACUGGAAACGGUUGCUAAUACCGGAUGUGCCGAGAGGUAAAAGAGAAAUUGCCUGAAGAUGAGCUCGCGUCUGAUUAGCUAGUUGGUGAGGUAAAGGCUCACCAAGGCAGCGAUCAGUAGCUGGUCUGAGAGGAUGACCAGCCACACUGGGACUGAGACACGGCCCAGACUCCUACGGGAGGAAGCAGUGGGGAAUUUUCCGGAAUGGGCGAAAGCCUGACGGAGCAAUACCGAGUGAGGGAAGAAGGCUCUUGGGAUGUAAACCUCUUUUCUUAGGGAAGAACAAAAUGACGGUACCUAAGGAAUCAGCAUCGGCUAACUCCGUG
RNAcentral lists this ribosomal RNA (435 nucleotides) under uncultured bacterium. RNAcentral describes it as "partial 16S ribosomal RNA". It matches the Rfam family "Bacterial small subunit ribosomal RNA", at positions 28 to 507 of the family's 1533-position model. The record is from RNAcentral.